AUUUUAAUUUUUGUGCCAACAUUAUAAAAUAUUAUGCAAAAAAAAAGAGGGCAGAGAAUCCAUAGAAAAUCUCACUUAUGUGAGAGUCUCAUUAACAUUUCUCAUUUAGGAAUUAUGAAGUGCUGGUAGGAAGGAUUGCUCGAUCCCUUAGAAAUUUUUUGUUAAGGGUCGAACUAAUUACGAUGUACCUUUAGUUUAAGUCAAUCGGUUGUGGUCUCAGGUGAUAUUAAUAUAGGAGUGUGAUAUCUACAUAUCUCUUUUUACUUCUCACACAAGGAUGUGUGAGAAGUAAAAAAUGAUGUGCGGAUACUCGCUCAAAAAUGAGAAUUUCUAUAGACUCUCCGUCUAUUUAUUAAUUUUAGAUUUUACACGGCUAAUAUGAUUUGUCUAUUUAUUAUAAGGAAAUGCUAAGGAGACUCGCUCAAAAAUGAGAAUCUUUAUAGACUCUCCGUCACCUCAUAUUUUUGUAGCACAAUAUUUUGAUAAUGUGGACACUAAAAUUUUGCUAAAAACAUGAGGUGGCGGAGAAUUUCUAGCAUAUCUCACUUUGAAGAGUCUUCUUAGCAUUUCUCUUUAUUAUAUAAUAUCUAGAUUAUUGAAUUUGGUUGAACUUUAGCAUAAUUGAUAUUUAAAGAGUAAUAUCAAAAAUAAAAGAUUUAAAUUACGACAUUGCAAAAUAAAAAAACAAAAUAAAACAUAUAGCGAAAAAAUUUAAAUGAGAAUGUGACUAACAUUGGUUAGGAAUUAAUG
RNAcentral lists this long non-coding RNA (750 nucleotides) under Malus domestica (apple). RNAcentral's name for it is "long non-coding RNA (MDOM_LNC001330)". The record is from RNAcentral. Lineage: Eukaryota; Viridiplantae; Streptophyta; Magnoliopsida; Rosales; Rosaceae.